Molecule: ribosomal RNA, 472 nt
Filed under: uncultured bacterium
Lineage: Bacteria
Description: partial 16S ribosomal RNA
Rfam family: Bacterial small subunit ribosomal RNA
Source: RNAcentral
GACGAACGCUGGCGGCGCGCUUAACACAUGCAAGUCGAACGAUGAACCCGGAGCUUGCUCUGGGGGAUUAGUGGCGAACGGGUGAGUAACACGUGAGUAACCUGCCCUGGACUCUGGGAUAAGCGUUGGAAACGACGUCUAAUACCGGAUAGGACCUUGGAUCGCAUGAUCUGGGGUGGAAAGUUUUUUCGGUCUGGGAUGGACUCGCGGCCUAUCAGCUUGUUGGUGAGGUAAUGGCUCACCAAGGCGUCGACGGGUAGCCGGCCUGAGAGGGUGACCGGCCACACUGGGACUGAGACACGGCCCAGACUCCUACGGGAGGCAGCAGUGGGGAAUAUUGCACAAUGGGCGAAAGCCUGAUGCAGCAACGCCGCGUGCGGGAUGACGGCCUUCGGGUUGUAAACCGCUUUUAGUAGGGAAGAAGGGCUUCGGCUUGACGGUACCUGCAGAAAAAGGACCGGCUAACUACGUG